AGAGUUUGAUCCUGGCUCAGAUUGAACGCUGGCGGCAUGCCUUACACAUGCAAGUCGAACGGCAGCAUGGGGUGCUUGCACCUGAUGGCGAGUGGCGAACGGGUGAGUAAUGCAUCGGAACGUACCGGAAGUGGGGGAUAACGUAGCGAAAGUUACGCUAAUACCGCAUAUUCUGUGAGCAGGAAAGAGGGGGAUCGCAAGACCUCUCGCUUUCGGAGCGGCCGAUGUCAGAUUAGCUAGUUGGUAGGGUAAAAGCCUACCAAGGCGACGAUCUGUAGCGGGUCUGAGAGGAUGAUCCGCCACACUGGGACUGAGACACGGCCCAGACUCCUACGGGAGGCAGCAGGUGGGGAAUUUUGGACAAUGGGGGCAACCCUGAUCCAGCCAUGCCGCGUGAGUGAAGAAGGCCUUCGGGUUGUAAAGCUCUUUCGGCGGGGAAGAAAUCGCAUCUCCUAAUACGGGGUGUGGAUGACGGUACCCGAAUAAGAAGCACCGGCUAACUACGUG
Molecule: ribosomal RNA, 507 nt
Filed under: uncultured bacterium
Lineage: Bacteria
Description: bacterial SSU rRNA
Rfam family: Bacterial small subunit ribosomal RNA
Source: RNAcentral